RNAcentral lists this transfer RNA (71 nucleotides) under Melampsora pinitorqua Mpini7. RNAcentral's name for it is "tRNA-Leu (TAG) (tRNA-Leu-TAG-4-1)". It matches the Rfam family "tRNA". From Rfam's summary of the family: Transfer RNA (tRNA) molecules are approximately 80 nucleotides in length. Their secondary structure includes four short double-helical elements and three loops (D, anti-codon, and T loops). The record is from RNAcentral. Lineage: Eukaryota; Fungi; Basidiomycota; Pucciniomycetes; Pucciniales; Melampsoraceae.
GGGCGGGUGGCGAAAUUGGCAGACGCGCCAGACUUAGGAUCUGGUCCNGGGUUCAAGUCCCACCUCGCCCA